This 447-nucleotide ribosomal RNA is filed under the name uncultured bacterium. RNAcentral describes it as "partial 16S ribosomal RNA". It matches the Rfam family "Bacterial small subunit ribosomal RNA", at positions 29 to 523 of the family's 1533-position model. The record is from RNAcentral.
AACGAACGCUGGCGGCAGGCUUAACACAUGCAAGUCGAGCGCCCCGCAAGGGGAGCGGCAGACGGGUGAGUAACGCGUGGGAACCUACCCUUUUCUACGGAAUAACGCAUGGAAACGUGUGCUAAUACCGUAUACGCCCUACGGGGGAAAGAUUUAUCGGAGAAGGAUGGGCCCGCGUUGGAUUAGCUAGUUGGUGGGGUAAAGGCCUACCAAGGCGACGAUCCAUAGCUGGUCUGAGAGGAUGAUCAGCCACAUUGGGACUGAGACACGGCCCAAACUCCUACGGGAGGCAGCAGUGGGGAAUAUUGGACAAUGGGCGCAAGCCUGAUCCAGCCAUGCCGCGUGAGUGAUGAAGGCCCUAGGGUUGUAAAGCUCUUUCACCGGAGAAGAUAAUGACGGUAUCCGGAGAAGAAGCCCCGGCUAACUUCGUGCCAGCCGCCGCGGUAA